This is a long non-coding RNA of Pogoniulus pusillus (Red-fronted tinkerbird), 422 nucleotides long. RefSeq lists it as uncharacterized. Lineage: Eukaryota; Metazoa; Chordata; Aves; Piciformes; Lybiidae. The transcript has 2 exons. The record is from RefSeq and is a predicted model, not a curated record.
CCAGUUGGGCAGAGGAUCCUCCUCACACCAUGACUGUGGUCUGACAUCCACCCAAGGUGCCGAAGCUGGAAGCACUUCAGACUCGCUGAGAUUUAUGCCUGUGUGAAAGAUCCAAUACAUCUUGGGCUUGAGAGACCUUCUGCUUUUCCUGGAGCUAGCCUGCAUUUCGUGUAUUUCAGCAUGCCACCUCAGGUGCUUUCUCCCAAGGAACCUUUGUUCCAGAGCAUCUGAGUGUUUCAGGAGCGCUUGAACAAGAAGGCAAACACGACAGUCAAUUAAAAACCAAUUCUUUGGCUCUGGUGUCAUUAAUCAAACGCACAAGCAGCCCCAGCACUGACACCUGGCAGGGUUAAUGCUUAAGACCUGUGGCAAUUACAGCUCCCCUGAAAAUCGCUUGGCCAGCAAGUCACAUAAAAGCCUGU